This 252-nucleotide ribosomal RNA is filed under the name uncultured bacterium. Its description in RNAcentral is "partial 16S ribosomal RNA". It matches the Rfam family "Bacterial small subunit ribosomal RNA", at positions 524 to 776 of the family's 1533-position model. The record is from RNAcentral.
UACGUAGGUCCCGAGCGUUGUCCGGAUUUAUUGGGCGUAAAGCGAGCGCAGGUGGUUUAUUAAGUCUGGUGUAAAAGGCAGUGGCUCAACCAUUGUAUGCAUUGGAAACUGGUAGACUUGAGUGCAGGAGAGGAGGGUGGAAUUCCAUGUGUAGCGGUGAAAUACGUAGAUAUAUGGAGGAACACCGGUGGCGAAAGCGGCUCUCUGGCCUGUAACUGACGCUGAGGCUCGAAAGCGUGGGGAGCAAACAGG